UGGGGAAUUUUGGACAAUGGGCGAAAGCCUGAUCCAGCAAUGCCGCGUGUGUGAAGAAGGCCUUCGGGUUGUAAAGCACUUUUGUCCGGAAAGAAAUCCUUGGCUCUAAUACAGUCGGGGGAUGACGGUACCGGAAGAAUAAGCACCGGCUAACUACGUGCCAGCAGCCGCGGUAAUACGUAGGGUGCAAGCGUUAAUCGGAAUUACUGGGCGUAAAGCGUGCGCAGGCGGUUUGCUAAGACCGAUGUGAAAUCCCCGGGCUCAACCUGGGAACUGCAUUGGUGACUGGCAGGCUAGAGUAUGGCAGAGGGGGGUAGAAUUCCACGUGUAGCAGUGAAAUGCGUAGAGAUGUGGAGGAAUACCGAUGGCGAAGGCAGCCCCCUGGGCCAAUACUGACGCUCAUGCACGAAAGCGUGGGGAGCAAACAGGAUUAGAUACCCUGGUAGUCCACGCCCUAAACGAUGUCAACUAGUUGUUGGGGAUUCAUUUCCUUAGUAACGUAGCUAACGCGUAAAGUUGACCGCCUGGGGAGUACGGUCGCAAGAUUAAAACUCAAUGAAUUGACGGGGUCAUAGCUGUUUCCU
RNAcentral lists this ribosomal RNA (584 nucleotides) under uncultured bacterium. Its description in RNAcentral is "partial 16S ribosomal RNA". It matches the Rfam family "Bacterial small subunit ribosomal RNA", at positions 355 to 1375 of the family's 1533-position model. The record is from RNAcentral.